CGCGUAGGCGGGAAGAGAAGUCCGGUGGGAAAGCCCACGGCUCAACCGUGGAAGAACGCUGGAAACUCUCUUUCUUGAGGGCGGCAGAGGGAAGUGGAAUUGCUGGUGUAGCGGUGAAAUGCGUAGAGAUCAGCAGGAACACCCGUGGCGAAGGCGGCUUCCUGGGCCGCCCCUGACGCUGAGGCGCGAAAGCGUGGGGAGCGAACG
Molecule: ribosomal RNA, 207 nt
Filed under: uncultured bacterium
Lineage: Bacteria
Description: partial 16S ribosomal RNA
Rfam family: Bacterial small subunit ribosomal RNA
Source: RNAcentral